Molecule: long non-coding RNA, 420 nt
Organism: Passer domesticus (house sparrow)
Lineage: Eukaryota; Metazoa; Chordata; Aves; Passeriformes; Passeridae
Exons: 3
Source: RefSeq, a predicted model, not a curated record
UUGGAUGAAUAAAGUUUUGAAGCCCUUGGAGCCUCCUGCAGGUAUGUUCUCAGUGUGCCACCAAGGAAGAAUUGUAGACAAGCGGGCAGGCACCAGGUGACAGAAGCUUCUGUGGCUGUUGUGUUACAGAUGUGUCUACAGGGAAGACUUCUCCAGCUUCUCCAGCUGCUACCUUGGAUGCUGCACUCAAGCCCAGCUCCCAUCUCAGGGGUCCUCUGGCAGGAGAGACCAAAGACAUGGCAGGCAGGAAAUUCCAGGACCCAUUAGAAAUCAUGUGGCAAAUGCUGAAGGAACAUCUGCAGAGAAGGCAAGAAAUGAACGGAGAGCCUGCGGAGAAAGAAGCAUUUCCCGGAGGAAGCAGUGGUUGCAUGCCAGCCUCAGCUCCAGGAAGGGAGGCCAUGCCAGGCACAGGCACAGGAG